GACGAACGCUGGCGGCGUGCUUAACACAUGCAAGUCGAGCGGUAAGGCCCUUUCGGGGGUACGACGAGCGGCGAACGGGUGAGUAACACGUGGGUGACCUGCCCUCAGCUCUGGGAUAAGCCUGGGAAACCGGGUCUAAUACCGGAUAUGACUCCAUGACGCAUGUUGUGGGGUGGAAAGCCUUGUGCGGCUGAGGAUGGGCCCGCGGCCUAUCAGCUUGUUGGUGGGGUGAUGGCCUACCAAGGCGACGACGGGUAGCCGGCCUGAGAGGGCGACCGGCCACACUGGGACUGAGACACGGCCCAGACUCCUACGGGAGGCAGCAGUGGGGAAUCUUGCGCAAUGGGGCGAAAGCCUGACGCAGCGACGCCGCGUGAGGGAUGACGGCCUGGUGUAA
RNAcentral lists this ribosomal RNA (397 nucleotides) under uncultured bacterium. Its description in RNAcentral is "bacterial SSU rRNA". It matches the Rfam family "Bacterial small subunit ribosomal RNA", at positions 28 to 428 of the family's 1533-position model. The record is from RNAcentral.